Molecule: long non-coding RNA, 1121 nt
Organism: Lepidothrix coronata (blue-crowned manakin)
Lineage: Eukaryota; Metazoa; Chordata; Aves; Passeriformes; Pipridae
Exons: 2
Source: RefSeq, a predicted model, not a curated record
ACAUAUCACUGAGCCCAUAGUCCAAGAUGUCAGAGAGUUUCUCCUACUAUCCCUGACAUGUUGUAACCAUGGAUGAUCCUUUAGCAAGGGACAGGAGAUGGUUAUUUGAGUAGAAAACUUUGAAUGCAGAAAGAUUUGUUCUUUACUGUAAUAUUUUCUCCAUGCAGCUUCAUGCAUCCAGGUUUCAGCCUUAAACAACUCUCAAAUUAAUAACAAGGGCCCACCUUAUUUUUGUGAUAAUUUUGAGGAAAAGGCAACUGAAUAAGGAGUGAUUUUGAUAUGUGGUCUAACUCCCUCUGGUUUCCACUGAUUGAUGUGUCUGGACCUUACUGGAGCUUCUUGCCUUCACUGAAUCAGAAAACUUUCUCAUCUCUCUUUCCUCCUUCCUUCCCCAAAAGCUGAAGAUAACUAUAUACACUUAAUAUUCAGGGGCAACAAUUGCCAGAAUAAUAAACCUUUUGUUUUUUUUCUUGUACUUUCUCCACCCAGUUUAUUGCAGGGCUUUCCUGACUUUGAGUCAGAAGACUACAAUGAACCUGCUCCUUUCUUAGAGUUUUUUCCACUUAGACAUUGCAAUUACACAUCCUCCUUGGUGAAGAUUUCAAAAGGGAUAUUCACACCUACAAAUCUGGAUGUUGCAUCCACAAAUCAAAAGAUUGCUUAGAUGCACAAUCUAGAAUAUCACUGUAGCUAUGCAGUACAGCCUAAUCAUGUUGACAAAAGCAAAUUCCAUGUGUUUUCAGGCCAACAGAACCAACAUGUCUCUGCUGUAAUCCAGUGAUUCCACGCUAAUGCGGGAGGUUGGUUCUCUGACGAGUAUAAUUCAGACAUGUGUCACUGCUCCUCUUAUUUCAUAUAUAGUUGGCUCUACUGGCUUACCAGUUGCUGAACAUUUUCCACAUUGUUGCUAAAUAGCUGUUUUCUGUUUCUCUCUGAAAACACAGAAGAAAAUAAGGACAGUCAGGAAAACCCCCUCCAAUUGUCAGGAGAAUUAGGAACAAUGAGUUAUAUAAAAAUAAAUCUACCUGUACCAGCUAAAAAGGUGUCUCCAAGACAGAUUCAUGGAAGAUAUAGUCAUGUAUAAAAACUGUGAAUUUACCUAAUACUAAAUCCUGGACCAG